Molecule: unclassified non-coding RNA, 295 nt
Filed under: Hevea brasiliensis (rubber tree)
Lineage: Eukaryota; Viridiplantae; Streptophyta; Magnoliopsida; Malpighiales; Euphorbiaceae
Source: RNAcentral
AACUGGGUUGUUUAUCACUACUUCAAUCUCAGAGCACAUAGAUACGAAAUGUCAGUUGUUGAAAUCUACGAUCAGUCACGGGCGGAUAACAAAGAUGUUUGGAAGCUUAUACUCGGUAAACAUAAUUUGACGUCGCCCAUUUCUUCGUAUUCUCGUCCGGAGGUGGUAGUAAAAUCCCAGUCAUACUUUUUUACCCAUUCCGUGAAAGCAAUGGCAGUGACAGCAACAGCCAAGGGUAUAACAUCAAAACAGCUUCUGAUUGGUACAAUUGGAGAUCAGGUUUUGGCGCUAGAUA